CAAAGAAUUCUUAAAAAUAAAUAUCAGCUGGUAAUUCUGGGAUUUAUUUACAAAAAACAUUGGCAUUCCCCGGAAUUUCAGUUGGUAUGGAUUUUUUCGAAUUC
This 104-nucleotide microRNA precursor is filed under the name Musca domestica (house fly). RNAcentral describes it as "mir-283 microRNA precursor family". It matches the Rfam family "mir-283 microRNA precursor family". Lineage: Eukaryota; Metazoa; Arthropoda; Insecta; Diptera; Muscidae. The record is from Rfam by way of RNAcentral.